RNAcentral lists this unclassified non-coding RNA (272 nucleotides) under Cladonia sp. RNAcentral's name for it is "partial contains small subunit ribosomal RNA, internal transcribed spacer 1, and 5.8S ribosomal RNA". The stretch from base 1 to 46 matches the Rfam family "Eukaryotic small subunit ribosomal RNA", at positions 1786 to 1831 of the family's 1831-position model. The record is from RNAcentral. Lineage: Eukaryota; Fungi; Ascomycota; Lecanoromycetes; Lecanorales; Cladoniaceae.
AAGUCGUAACAAGGUUUCCGUAGGUGAACCUGCGGAAGGAUCAUUAAAGAAUACCCCCGUUUUUUGAAAUGGGUUCUGUUCCCAAACCGUGUAUACAUACCUUUGUUGCUUUGGCGGGCCUUGAGUAGGCUAUACGGCUCAUGCCGGCCCCCAGCGUUUUCUGCUAGGGGGCGGCUCGUGCCCGCCGGAGGUUCAACCAAAUUCUGUUUAUUAGUGAAGUCCGAGUAAAAAUUAAAUAAUCAAAACUUUCAACAACGGAUCUCUUGGUUCUG